AUUUUAGUAGUUUAUAAAAAUACUGAUUUGUGGGGUCAGAGAUGUAGUAAUUACCUAAAAUA
This 62-nucleotide transfer RNA is filed under the name Coraebus cavifrons. RNAcentral describes it as "tRNA-His". The record is from RNAcentral. Lineage: Eukaryota; Metazoa; Arthropoda; Insecta; Coleoptera; Buprestidae.